UCAGUGAAAUUUUGGCGAGUUUUUUGAGUUUUGGUGGGUUUCACUGGGAUUUUGUGGGAUUCUCUGGGGUUUUGGAGGAUCUUAUUGUAAUUUCUUGGAAAUUUGGGGAUUUUUAGUGGAAUUUGUGGGGGAUUUGGGGGUCUGGGGCCUUUGGGGUUGUCCCCGGGUUUGCGGAAGGGCUGAGAGGCAUCAAAAUCUCCUUAAAACCCCACAAGUCCCAAUAAAGCUCAUGAAGUCUGAAAUAAAUAUGACAAAAUCCCAUUAGAACACCCUAGAAUCCCAAUAAAAGCCCACAAAAUCUUUUGAAAUCCCAAUAACGCCCAAAAUCCCGAUGAAAGCCCGCAAAUCCCCCAAAAAAUGUCCCAAAAACCAUAAAACUCCCAGAAAAUUUCACCCAAGACCCAAAGAAAUCAUGACAACACCCAAAUAACAACACGAAACCCCAAAAGCCUACCAACAUUCUCAAAAAAAACCUCAAAUCCCCAAUAAAUCCCACUAAAAGCCCCCACAAUACCAGUAAAAUGCCUCAAAAUCUCCUAGAAAUCCCAAUAAAACUGCCAGAAUUUCUCAGAGUCCCAAAAAAACCCGAACAAAAUCUCAGUAAAGCCUCCCAAAAUACAAACCAAACUAAAAAAAUUUCAAUCAACCCCCAAACAUCCCCAGAAGAAACCCCCCCCCAAAGCGCCAAUAAAACCCCCAAAAUCCAAACCCCCCAAAAUCCACAAAAGCCCCCAACAUUUCCCACCUUGUCCCAGCAUGUCUGCAGUCAUUCCCAGGCGCUGCCAGUGGCCCCAGGAAGGUGUCAGCUCUCCCAGUGUGAUCCCCCAGUCAUGCCCAGAAUAUCCCAGCUGCCUCCAGCAUGCAUCCAGUCCUGCCCAGUUCCUCCAGUUUGCUUGCAGCAUGAUCCCAGUUUCUCUCAGGAUUUCCAUUGCCAACCCCCAUUGAGGCUGUGAGGAAAAUGCCCCAGAACAUGCAAGCAGAGCAGGAGCUGAGCAUGGAGAGCAGGGAGGACAAAUCCCCGCGGCAGAACCUCGUGGCAGAGGCCGUUUUGAGCGGCUCCACGGCGCAGGAAGCCAACGGGGAGGAAAAGCCCCGGAGAUGCC
Long non-coding RNA from Passer domesticus (house sparrow), 1103 nucleotides. RefSeq lists it as uncharacterized. NCBI's taxonomy places the organism in Eukaryota, Metazoa, Chordata, Aves, Passeriformes, Passeridae. The record is from RefSeq and is a predicted model, not a curated record. The transcript is spliced from 3 exons.